Molecule: ribosomal RNA, 253 nt
Filed under: uncultured bacterium
Lineage: Bacteria
Description: partial 16S ribosomal RNA
Rfam family: Bacterial small subunit ribosomal RNA
Source: RNAcentral
UACGUAGGUGGCAAGCGUUAUCCGGAAUUACUGGGCGUAAAGCGCACGUAGGUGGCUGUGUAAGUCGGGUGUGAAAUCCCCGGGCUCAACCUGGGAACUGCAUUCGAGACUGCAUAGCUGGAGUACGGAAGAGGAGGGCGGAAUUCCCGGUGUAGCGGUGAAAUGCGUAGAUAUCGGGAGGAACAUCAGUGGCGAAGGCGGCCCUCUGGUCCAGUACUGACACUCAAGUGCGAAAGCGUGGGGAGCAAACAGG